GUUCUUACAAUGUUGGACAUGGAGCAGCAACCAAAAAGAAUGUGUGUAUGUUGUAUAUAAAUAUAUUCACUGGGGAAUUUUAAUAAUAAAUAUUUCAACAUGCUUAAAACAAUACAAGUACCAAUGUUACAAUUUAAAAGCUAUAAACAUAGCUUGUCUAAGUACAAAACAUACCAUACUAUAGAAACAGGUACUGCUUCAGUAAUAAUAGCAAUAUAAUUACAAUAAUUGGGCUUUUGCCUUAUGUAAAAGUUACAGUUCCAUACGUUAUUUCUGACCCCCAGAACUUACUGCGUUUCUAUUUCUUUUCUAGAUGACUGCACACCUGCUUUUGAAGAUCAUCAACGCUCUUGCACAGGAAUCCGGUGCUGGACAUCCAGGAAAANCAUCUCCAGGCAUCCCUUCUUACUCUGUGUCACCCCUUAGCACUCUGCCAUUUUUGUGUAUGCUGCAGGUGGACUAAAUUCCUUCGAUGCAUCUCCAGACUUUCUGGGUGAUAAAGGUACUGCACCCAGACUGCAGCUAAACUCAAAAGCUCCCUGAGCCCCUAAGGGUNUCCCCGGAUAGCGAGAGGACAGGGAGGUACAGGUACAAUCCAGGCCUGUCACUGGACAUUCCAUACUCCUGAUAAGAGUCUUGGCCUCUUCAUCUCGUCUGGCAUGCCUUUGCACAAGCGCAGCACUUGCAGAAGAAGGACCCGGAUGCCGGAAGAGCCCGUCCACUUCCCUUUACAUUUUUUGCGCUCUUCCUGCAUUUGGAGGUUUGCAAGGGUAGUGAUUGGGUGAAGAAGCUGCAGACAAGGUAAGAGCCAGGAUUUGUAAAGGAAGGUUGGAAAAUCCAGGGUCAGAGUUAGAGAAAGGCUCUUGGCACCUCUGUGCUAGCCUUACUGCUNCUGGCCAUAGAGAUUANUGGGCACAGGAAGCAAGCAGAGAAAAUAAGUCAGAUGAAUCUCCAAGAGCACUUAAAAACUCUACUUCGCACCUUCACGGUGUGAAGAAUUAAUUUGCUGAAUGGCAGAUAGAAAUUANUGGGCAGAGCUGCAG
This 1043-nucleotide long non-coding RNA is filed under the name Salvator merianae (Argentine black and white tegu). RNAcentral describes it as "lncRNA (ENSSMRG00000007449.1)". The record is from RNAcentral. Lineage: Eukaryota; Metazoa; Chordata; Lepidosauria; Squamata; Teiidae.